Molecule: ribosomal RNA, 343 nt
Filed under: uncultured bacterium
Lineage: Bacteria
Description: partial 16S ribosomal RNA
Rfam family: Bacterial small subunit ribosomal RNA
Source: RNAcentral
CCUACGGGAGGCAGCAGUGGGGAAUAUUGCACAAUGGGCGAAAGCCUGAUGCAGCAACGCCGCGUGAGCGAUGAAGGCCUUCGGGUCGUAAAGCUCUGUCCUCAAGGAAGAUAAUGACGGUACUUGAGGAGGAAGCCCCGGUUAACUACGUGCCAGCAGCCGCGGGAAUACGUAGGGGGCUAGCGUUAUCCGGAAUUACUGGGCGUAAAGGGUGCGUAGGUGGUUUCUUAGGUCAGAGGUGAAAGGCUACGGCUCAACCGUAGUAAGCCUUUGAAACUGGGGAACUUGAGUGCAGGAGAGGAGAGUGGAAGUCCUAGUGUAGCGGUGAAAUGCGUAGAUAUUA